GAUGAACGCUGGCGGCGUGCUUAACACAUGCAAGUCGAACGAGAAAUGUAGACGGAAACCUUCGGGCGGAAGCCUUCAUUUCGAGUGGCGGACGGGUGAGUAACGCGUGGGUAACCUGCCUCAUACAGGGGGAUAACAGUUGGAAACGACUGUUAAUACCGCAUAAGACCACAGCAUCGCAUGAUGCGGGGGUAAAAACUCCGGUGGUAUGAGAUGGACCCGCGUUCGAUUAGCCAGUUGGCGGGGUAACGGCCCACCAAAGCGACGAUCGAUAGCCGAUAUGAGAGGCUGGCCGGAGACAUUGAGAGUGAGACGCGGCCCAGACUCCUACGGGAGGCAGGAGUGGCGAAUAUUGCAAAAUGGGGGAAGCCCUGAUGCAGCGCCGCCGGGUGAGUGAAGAAGUUCUUCGGUAUGUAAAGCUCUAUCAGCAGGGAAGAAAAUGACGGUACCUGAGCAAGAAGCCCCGGCUAACUACGUG
RNAcentral lists this ribosomal RNA (478 nucleotides) under uncultured bacterium. RNAcentral describes it as "partial 16S ribosomal RNA". It matches the Rfam family "Bacterial small subunit ribosomal RNA", at positions 28 to 507 of the family's 1533-position model. The record is from RNAcentral.